Molecule: ribosomal RNA, 274 nt
Filed under: uncultured bacterium
Lineage: Bacteria
Description: partial 16S ribosomal RNA
Rfam family: Bacterial small subunit ribosomal RNA
Source: RNAcentral
AUACGAAGGGGGCUAGCGUUGUUCGGAAUUACUGGGCGUAAAGCGCGCGUAGGCGGACUGAUCAGUUGGGGGUGAAAUCCCAGGGCUUAACCCUGGAACUGCCUCCAAUACUGUCAGUCUUGGGUUCGGGAGAGGUGAGUGGAAUUCCUGGUGUAGAGGUGAAAUUCGUAGAUAUUAGGAAGAACACCAGUGGCGAAGGCGGCUCACUGGCCCGAUACUGGCGCUGAGGCGCGAAAGCGUGGGGAGCAAACAGGAUUAGAUACCCUAGUAGUCC